GAAUAUGGGGGGACCAUCCUCCAAGGCUAAAUACUCCUGACUGACCGAUAGUGAACCAGUACCGUGAGGGAAAGGCGAAAAGAACCCCGGCGAGGGGAGUGAAAAAGAACCUGAAACCGUGUACGUACAAGCAGUGGGAGCACGCUUAGGCGUGUGACUGCGUACCUUUUGUAUAAUGGGUCAGCGACUUAUAUUCUGUAGCAAGGUUAACCGAAUAGGGGAGCCGAAGGGAAACCGAGUCUUAACUGGGCGUUAAGUUGCAGGGUAUAGACCCGAAACCCGGUGAUCUAGCCAUGGGCAGGUUGAAGGUUGGGUAACACUAACUGGAGGACCGAACCGACUAAUGUUGAAAAAUUAGCGGAUGACUUGUGGCUGGGGGUGAAAGGCCAAUCAAACCGGGAGAUAGCUGGUUCUCCCCGAAAGCUAUUUAGGUAGCGCCUCGUGAAUUCAUCUCCGGGGGUAGAGCACUGUUUCGGCAAGGGGGUCAUCCCGACUUACCAACCCGAUGCAAACUGCGAAUACCGGAGAAUGUUAUCACGGGAGACACACGGCGGGUGCUAACGUCCGUCGUGAAGAGGGAAACAACCCAGACCGCCAGCUAAGGUCCCAAAGUCAUGGUUAAGUGGGAAACGAUGUGGGAAGGCCCAGACAGCCAGGAUGUUGGCUUAGAAGCAGCCAUCAUUUAAAGAAAGCGUAAUAGCUCACUGGUCGAGUCGGCCUGCGCGGAAGAUGUAACGGGGCUAAACCAUGCACCGAAGCUGCGGCAGCGACGCUGAUGCGUUGUUGGGUAGGGGAGCGUUCUGUAAGCCUGCGAAGGUGUGCUGUGAGGCAUGCUGGAGGUAUCAGAAGUGCGAAUGCUGACAUAAGUAACGAUAAAGCGGGUGAAAAGCCCGCUCGCCGGAAGACCAAGGGUUCCUGUCCAACGUUAAUCGGGGCAGGGUGAGUCGACCCCUAAGGCGAGGCCGAAAGGCGUAGUCGAUGGGAAACAGGUUAAUAUUCCUGUACUUGGUGUUACUGCGAAGGGGGGACGGAGAAGGCUAUGUUGGCCGGGCGACGGUUGUCCCGGUUUAAGCGUGUAGGCUGGU
This 1085-nucleotide ribosomal RNA is filed under the name Escherichia coli. RNAcentral's name for it is "partial 23S ribosomal RNA". It matches the Rfam family "Bacterial large subunit ribosomal RNA", at positions 440 to 1529 of the family's 2925-position model. The record is from RNAcentral. Lineage: Bacteria; Pseudomonadati; Pseudomonadota; Gammaproteobacteria; Enterobacterales; Enterobacteriaceae.